Dreissena polymorpha is the source of this 573-nucleotide long non-coding RNA. RefSeq lists it as uncharacterized. Lineage: Eukaryota; Metazoa; Mollusca; Bivalvia; Myida; Dreissenidae. The record is from RefSeq and is a predicted model, not a curated record. The transcript has 3 exons.
AAAGAGAGCACAGUCUAAAAGGUAGUGAUGUUCAGAGCCAACUUGACCAGAGUAACAAAGUGUACAUGUUCUUUGAUCAAAUGGGGUUCCAUCAAAUCGUCCAGUUUCAACUGGUAGCCAGUGGUUAGCUGUUCUGAAUUUAAAGAGGGUAUGUACUAGUGUGGGCCUGGUUGAAGAUUGAUUGGAGUUCACCAGUGAUGUAUUCUACCGUUUGCUGUGAUUGUGGGUCAUGUAGUGUGUCUACCCCCCCCCCACUGGCCUAGCGGGAUUGGCUGUUGGCAUCGUUGGUGAUGUUCAUAUUGGUGGCUGGUACCGAGCUUGUGUUACUGGAUUGAGACAGAGUGUCUUUUUUGGAUUUAUUAUCUCAAGGUCGUUGGAUACUAUUGGCUGGCGUCUGGGAAUGGAGGGGAGUUCUUGGCGAUAUUGGUGCGCGGCUGCGUGUGAGGACUGCUGCCCUCGAAGGAUUGGGAGACACUGAUUGUGAUCUUCUAGGGACGUGGUUGGCACUACGCACUGGUGCACUGGUGCAUAAUUGCGUUUCCAGUGUUGGGCGCAAGUGUGCUAGAUGCUGAG